Carassius gibelio (silver crucian carp) is the source of this 1960-nucleotide RNA transcript. RefSeq lists it as uncharacterized. The transcript has 14 exons. The record is from RefSeq and is a predicted model, not a curated record. NCBI's taxonomy places the organism in Eukaryota, Metazoa, Chordata, Actinopteri, Cypriniformes, Cyprinidae.
UGUUAUUCGGAAACUAUGCAAAGAAUGUGGUCUGGACUCCACUGGCUCUCGGAGUGACCUCCUCCUCAGAUUGUCCAAUGAAAUGAAAUCGAGGCAAACAUAUGAUAAAAUCUUUGAAAAAAUCUGGGGUGCCUCUGGAGGCUGGGGAGUCAUCAUGUGCCCAUGUGGUGUAGUUUACAGUUUAAAAUGCAAUCUUCGAGCAGAAAGCCCUCGAGAUUUUGUUGAUCUUCUGUUCUCAUGGAAGCACAUGCCGAACAUUAUCAUUUAUGACUUUGCACGCGGUUUAGCAACACAUGCCAAUCUCAGGGCACCAGAAAGCAUUCCUAUUCAUCCACAUGAGGGACGCUUGGCAGAACCCACUCAAGAAAACAUAACACUUGCCAGAUCUGGAAAUCUGAAAGUGUCCUUGCCUUGGCUGGAGGAAAAAAAGAGUGCAAGUGAUCCUCAAGGACACCCACUGACAGGAUCUUCUGAUCAUUACAUAUUAUCUGACCGUUUUCACGAGAACAAUACCAAAGACAGUAGAGAUGUUCUGAGGAAGAUCACUAUAGUGCCUCAACUAGCUGGCAAAAUAAAUAGCCAGGUUGCAGAGCAACUGUUCUCAAAGAUGAGAAAAAAUAACUACUUCUUGAACAUGUCUCAGCCAUCAACACACCUCUUUCAAAUGAGGACCAUAAUUCACCACUAUAACGAAAACAAGAACAACAAAGUGAGGACUAGAUUAAUGAAGACAUUUGGAUCAAAGUUGGUGAUGAAUAUGCAUGGACAGGCUGUGCUGGAAAAUUCGGACAUCUCUAUAGACGAGCUAGUCCCCACAGACAUUGAGAUGGAGCAUGUUACCCCGACAUCAAUGACGGUCCCAACCAGUACAGAAACUGAAAUGGUGUGUAAUUAUAAAUGCCUGUCUGCCAGUAGAGAUUGUUGGGAUUGUGUGCCAACUCAUAGGCAAUCAGUAAUGCUUGAAUGGGUUUUGGGGACAGGCGACCAAGAUGAGACAAUUGCUGAAGUUGGAAACGUGGUUCUGAAAAGAAAAGAUUUCUGGACUCUCUGUCUCAAUGAGCAGUUGGAGGCAACAAUUGCAAACAGCUGUCUUGAAGUAAUUACUUUGGUCUCUAUGGAACGAGGAUUGGAUGUGUGGACAGCUAAUGCAUAUGUUGUGGUGACCUGGUUGCCUCCAAAUAAUCUGGACCCAUCCUUGUCAUUUCCAGAUAACAUUGCACUAAAAGACUGCAUUAUCUUCCCUGCUUGGAAGCCAGGACACUGGAUGUUGUGUCAAGAUGACAGCCAAAAUUGCACCUGGAACAUGGAUGCUAAUAAAAAACAAGGAUAUCCCCCAACAGAUUGGUGGUGUGGACUGUGGAGUCUUCAUGUUGAUGUAUGCUCUACAUCUUGCCUUGGGAGCACCCUUUGAUUUUACAUCUUGUGACAUGCCAAAGAUUCGGAGAUGGUGGACUCUAAUUCUUUUAGAGAACUUUGGGGUUUUCUCUGAAAGUGCAGAUACCCUUCAAGAGGCUCUUCCACACAGAGAACCAGCUGAGCUUAGCAGCAGUGAGGAGCUACCAGUAAUCCGAGACAUGGCAGAAGCUGUGAAAUGGAUUGAUUCCAAUAACCAUCUGCUCAGAGGGCCGGUGGAAGAGCCUCUUUUCCUCACCAUGACUGAGGAGGAAAAGGAAAAGGCCCUCAAUGAUCUCAGUGAAAGCACAGACUCUUCGAGGGAGCCCUUUACGUUUCUUUUUCAGUUCAGGGAUGACAUGGAAUUAGUUAUACAAGAAUGUCAUGACAAAAUGGGUCUAAAACUGAACUGUUCAUUUGAUACAUUUUAAUUUAAAUUAAUGCCAUAUGGUCAUGACAAUGUGUGAAUUGUUUGUUUUGUAAAUUGUCAUUUUCAUUUUAUACAAAAUUGUCAUGGCAAAUUGUUUAGCAAGUUUAUUCCAUAAACUUUAAUUAUCUAGUUUUUGAU